CCUACGGGAGGCAGCAGUAGGGAAUAUUGGGCAAUGGUCGCAAGACUGACCCAGCCAUGCCGCGUGCAGGAUGACGGCCUAUGGGUUGUAAACUGCUUUUAUCAGGGAAGCGGUACCUGAGGAAUAAGGAUCGGCUAACUCCGUGCCAGCAGCCGCGGUAAUACGGAGGAUCCAAGCGUUGUCCGGAUUUAUUGGGUUUAAAGGGUGCGUAGGCGGACUGAUAAGUCAGAGGUGAAAGCCGGUAGCUCAACUAUCGAAUUGCCUUUGAAACUGCCAGUCUUGAAUAUUGUUGAGGUAGGCGGAAUGUAUCAUGUAGCGGUGAAAUGCAUAGAUAUGAUACAGAACACCGAUUGCGAAGGCAGCUUACUAACAUUAUUGACGCUGAGGCACGAAAGCGUGGGGAUCAAACAGGAUUAGAUACCCUUGUAGUC
RNAcentral lists this ribosomal RNA (431 nucleotides) under uncultured bacterium. RNAcentral's name for it is "partial 16S ribosomal RNA". It matches the Rfam family "Bacterial small subunit ribosomal RNA", at positions 338 to 795 of the family's 1533-position model. The record is from RNAcentral.